Molecule: ribosomal RNA, 441 nt
Filed under: uncultured bacterium
Lineage: Bacteria
Description: partial 16S ribosomal RNA
Rfam family: Bacterial small subunit ribosomal RNA
Source: RNAcentral
CCUACGGGUGGCAGCAGUAGGGAAUUUUGCGCAAUGGGGGAAACCCUGACGCAGCAACGCCGCGUGAUCGAUGAAGCCCUUCGGGGUGUAAAGAUCUGUCAGUGGGGACGAAACCUGACGGUACCCACAGAGGAAGCACCGGCUAACUCCGUGCCAGCAGCCGCGGUAAUACGGGGGGUGCAAGCGUUGUCCGGAAUCAUUGGGCGUAAAGAGUUCGUAGGUGGCACGUUAAGUCUGGUGUUAAAGGCGGAAGCUCAACUUCCGUAGGGCACUGGAUACUGGCGAGCUUGAAUGCGGUAGAGGUAAAGGGAAUUCCUGGUGUAGCGGUGAAAUGCUUAGAUAUCACGAAGAACUCCGAUUGCGAAGGCAGCUUACUAAACUGCCACUGACAUUGAUGCUCGAAAGUGUGGGUAUCAAACAGGAUUAGAUACCCGAGUAGUC